This is a long non-coding RNA of Erinaceus europaeus (western European hedgehog), 6385 nucleotides long. RefSeq lists it as uncharacterized. The transcript has 2 exons. The record is from RefSeq and is a predicted model, not a curated record. Lineage: Eukaryota; Metazoa; Chordata; Mammalia; Eulipotyphla; Erinaceidae.
AGGCCUGCAGGGGAGGAAGGGGCACAGUGAGGACCCAGCCCAGGGGAGGACUAGACGGGCUGGUGGUGGGGGUGGGUAGGGCAAAGGCACAGGACAAAGGAGGGAAGGGGAAUGGCAGGGGACAGGAAGGAAGAGGUCCUAACAGACAGACUCGCUGGCAGGAAGCACAGCUAAAAUCCACACGUGAACUGAGUGGAGUGUAGCAAGGGAAAGAGGAAGGCCUAAAGUGAGAAGUUGGCCUAUUUCUAUAAAGUUUACUGUUCUGGGAUGUGGCAGGCCUCACUGUCUUUUUUUGUUUCUUUGUUUAAGAUUUUAUCUGUUAAUGAAGGAAGAGAAAGGAGAGCACUGAUCUUCUGUGGAUGAUAUACUACUUGGUUUUGUCUUUCUUAUUUGAAUGUGUUGAAUCCCGGGCCUCAGGCAUGCAAGGGUUAUCGCUGGGACUCUAUGCUUGCAUAAUAACUCCACUGCUCCUGAUGGUCAUUUGUUUGUUGUGUUAUAGAAGUUGAAAGAGAGGAGUCAGGCGGUAGCACAGAGGGUUAAGUGCACGUGGUGCAAAGCGCAAGGACCGGCAGUGUAAGGAUCCUAGUUCGAGCCCCCGGCAGGGGGGUUGCUUCACCAGUGGUGAAGCAGGUCUGCAGGUGUGUAUGUUUUUCACCCCCUCUCUGUCUUCCCCUCCUCUCUCCAUUUCUCUCUGUCCUAUCCAACAACAAUGACAUCAAUAACAACAACAAUAAAAAAGGGCAACAAAAGGGAACAAAUAAAUAAAUAAAUAAAAAGAAGUUGAAAGAUAUAGAGAUGAGAGAGAGAGAGAGAGAGAGAGAGAGAGAGAGAGAGAGAAAGAAGAAAGCCCUGUAGCACUGCUCCAGCAUUCAUAGGGAACCAGGGGCUUCAAUCCAGGUCCUUGUAUAUGGUAACAUGUGUUUUACCCAGUCAGCCACCACCCAGCCCUUCCUUACGACUUUUCCAAAUCAACAACAAUCAUUGAUCUGGAGAGUAGCUGAGUGGUAGAGAGCAACAUUUAUAAACAUGAGGUUCAAAGUUCAAACCAAGAGGAGCCGGGUGGUAGCGCAGCAGUUUAAGUACACAUGGCACAAAGUGCACAAACCAGCAUCAGGAUCCCGGUUUGAGCCCACACCUGCAGGGGGUUCACUUUAUAGGCGGUGAAGCAGGUCUGGAGGUGUCUGUCUUUCUCUCCCCCUCUCUGUCUUCCCCUCCUCUCUCCAUUUCUCUCUGUCCUAUCUAACAACAAUGACAACAAUAAUAAGGAUGAUAAACAAGGGCAACGAAAGGGAAAAAUAAAUAAAUAAAGUUUCUUUAAAAAAAUAAAAUAAAAAACAAAGUUCAAACCAUGGCACCACAUAUGCCAGAGGGAUGCUCUGAUAUUCUCUUUCUGUUCUCCUCUCCUCUCUCUCCCCCCCCCUUUUGAUAAGAAAUGAAUCUUUAAACAGUUAAUAAUGAAAGUAAAUUGUGAUCUUUAAGUAGAGGGUUUCUGAAGCACUGGGGGAAGGAAAUAUUGCUGAGAUACCUCCCAGAAAUAGAAUGGUUGCAUCUCCUCAAGAUGAAUUGGAGCAGAGCUCUGAAGCCUAGAUAUAUUAGGGGGACAGACCACAUAUGAGGGCAGAAGCAGUGUCAGGAUGAUCUUAGGGAUCUUACCUGUGUGGGGGUCCAGCAGACUUGACAGCUCUUCUUCAAGCAGCUGCUUCACAGAGAGGUCCUCCUCAGGGUCUAAAGACCCUUCUUCCUGGUCCAGUUCUGCUUGGCCACCAACCCUGGAACCUGUGCCAUCUGUCUCUGAGACUGGACUCCUGCAGGGGAAGCCAACUCAGACCAUGAGAGGAAUUUCACAUAUAGGCUCAUUCUUCUGUACUCCAGAGCCUUCAUCUGUUCAUGCCAACAUCCAUUCAUCCAAAUCGGUGCCGGCGUUCAGUCAGACCAGCCUGGGUUACUUGAUCCCAGCCCUUCUGGCUACUGUUUCCUUACCUGUCAGAUGGGGACAGCAACACCCACCUCAUGAAACAUGGUGAGGGUAAAAUGAGACGUCAUAUGAACAGGGCUCAGCAUAGUGACUCGCACAUUGUAAUCACUUGGUAAAGAGAAGUGACUACAAAUUCAUAGACAUGUUUACUCACCACUGUCCCUCUUAUUCCUUAAGGAGUUCAGUAAACUUUGCUUCAUUCAUCCAUCCACCCACCUACCCAUCCAUCCAUCCAUCCAUCCAUCUCAUUCAUUUCUCUCUCUCUGUCUUUUUUUCCUUCCAUUAAUUUGUUUAUGCUUGAGCUCUCACAAGGGCAAGGAUUUUUUUUCCCCAUCUCAUUCCCUGUUCUUUCUUAGCAUAAGACCUCAUACAUAAUAGGUGUUUAAUAAAAAGUAUUGAAUACUUCUCACCUUUUUUAGAAAAAAAUUAUUUAUUUAUUGGAUAGGGACAGAGAAAUUGAGAGAGGAGGGGGAGAUAGUAAGGGAGAGAGACAGAGAGACACCUGUAGCCCUGCUCCACCAUUUGUGAAGCUUUCCCCCUACAGGUGGGGACCAGGGGCUUGAACCUGCAUCCUUGCACACUGUAAUGUGUGCACUUAACCAGGUGCACCACUGCCUGGCCCCUACUUCUUUCUAUCUGAGGUCAAACUUCAGACAAAAAGAGCAAGUGUCUGGAGGAUAAGACUAAAGUGAGGUACUCAAAAGCCAUUCAAAACCUACUGCCCCACUUUCUUCUAUUUCUCCCUCAACCUCUGUGAGCUGGGAGGUCAGUUCCUGGGAUCAUCUUGGUUCAGGGAGAGUUCUUUGGCCUCUCAGCUCAGAAGAUGACUUAGUAAGAGCCUUUAUGGUGUGGGUCUCCUUUCUGCCGCCCCCCCCCCCCCCCGUGGACAUUCUGCACUAUGAAGAGAUUGGUACAGAGGUGGUAAAUUUGCAAAUAAUUAAGACAAAAACAGAUGUUCACUGAACAGUUGGUCUGCUGUACACAGUGUGUGCACUUUCCCAUCAAACCCCAUCCAUAAAGGGUCCUCUUGUUAGCAUCCUUAUUUUAGAGUGAGAAAACUAAGACUUGGAAGAAUAUGCCAAGUGCCCAAGGCAUUGAUAAGGUAGGAUUGAAAUCCAGGCUGCUGUGACCCUGGAUCAUGUCCUUGUGUCCUUGUGUCUGCUUUACAUUAUUUCUCGCCAGCUUGGCAAAAAGAAGCUACAAGUUGUCAUGGUAAGAGCACUGAACCAGGAGUCAGGUGCCCAGAAAACUGGUCCCAGCUUUGUCACUCACUGGCUGUAUGACCUUGAGCAAAUUCACUCUCGGGGAAAUACUUUAACAUUGAGUAGCUCUGAUGUGCCAGACACUGGGCUUAGAAUACAUUUAAUCAUUAAAUCUUUCCCUAUCAGUCUACCAAGUGCAGGGACUUUCAUUUCACAGGUGAGAAAGCACAGCCCUGGGGGAACAUCUCAUUUUCUUACAUUUACAUAGCUGGGCAGUUCAAACUACUUUCAGCCUCAGUUUCUUCAUUUGUAACAAGAAGGAGUAAGAUCAGAAGUCCUCUUGAGGUCACUUUAAUUCUAGAUUAAUUCAAAGGCUCAUGCUCACACAUCCACACACUCAUAUACCCUUUGUCCUUAGCCAGGAGUCCUUCUCAUAUGUUUGAUGGUCAAGAGAAAGAAAGCAAAAAGUUACAGACAUAAAGUCCAUAGCUCAGCACCUCUGCAAUCAGGGACAGAGAGUCAGAGCCCUAGGGAUGAAAUCAUUUCCUGAGUGACUCCGGGUGCUGUAAGUACAGUAUUUAUAAUAUUUGCUCCAGGACAGAGCUGCCUGGGGUAGGCGGAUGGACAUUGUCUGAUGAACACUCCCAGGGGACCAGUGUCUUGGGAAAGGGUGGGACACUCACCCUAUAGUGAUGUAACAGAGGCUGCAGGGGUUUGGGCAGCUGAUGGGGGGGGGGCUUCUUGGGGCAGUCAGUGGGGGCUACGUGCCGCUUACCUGCCACUGCUGGGCUUGGCCAAGUAUUUAUUUCCCCGGUGGUUUGGUUUGGGCUGGAACUGGCCCUGAUGCAGCAAGGACAGCAGCUGGGAGAUUUGCUACAAGACAGGAAAAAUCUGUUGACUCCACACAAUUCCGACCCAGCACACUUCCUCGCCGGAUGUUUCCCUCAAUGCCGACGUUUUCUUUUUAUAGUCUUUCCUCCUGCUUCAGAUGUUUGUGUGAUCAGAUGGGGGUGGGGAGGAGUUGUGAGGGUGGUGAACAGUGACGGUGACAGGCAGAGGCCUAUGCAGACAGGAUUCCGGCACUGCCUGUCUCUUGGGGACCUGAGUGUCUAGGGGGAGACGGGGGAACUCUCUGGACCUAUUCCUCACCCUCAUGCCCCAGCUGACCUGCUUCUGGUGGGAUCUGUGGGGUUGGCAUGAGGAGGUAGAUUUUUAUUUUUUUUUUAAAUAGAAACAGAGAGAAGUUGAGAGGGAAGGGGAUAAUUGAGAGGGAGAGAGAAACAGACCUGCAGCACUGCUUCAUCAUUUGUGAAGCUUCCCCCUUGCAGGGGCUUGAACCCAGAUCCUUAGGCAUUAUAGCAUGUGAAUUCUACCAAUGGCACCACCACAAGGCUGCCUAAAAGGUACUUUCUGAUGACAAUUUCAUGAUUGCUUUGAUAAGGACAUUUAUUUAUUUCUUGACCAGAGCAUUGCUUAGCUCUGGUUUGUGGUGGUGCCAGUGAUUGAACCUGGGACCUCAGAGUCUCAAGCAUCAAUGUCUGUUGCGCUAUGAAUGGUCAAUCUCCCAGGUGCUAAUAGGGAUUAUUUUAAAAGAGUCAUUUCUGUGGUCCAGCAUGUGGCAAAAUGGCUAAAGGACCAAAUUCAUAAAUAAGCAUUCCUAGUCCUGUACCCAGCACUGACAUAUGCCAGAGUGAUGCUUUGGCUUCUCUCUUUCUUUCUCUCUUUCUCUUGUUCUAUCAAAAAUAAAUAAAUAGGGGAGUUACUUCAUAGGCAGUAAAGCAGGUCUGCAGGUGUCUAUCUUUCUCUCCCCCCCUCUGUCUUCCCCUCCUCCAUUUCUCUGUCCUAUCCAACAAUGACAACAUCAAUAACAACAACAAUAACAAUAACUACAACAAUGAAAAAGGGCAACAAAAGGGAAAAUAAAUAAAUAAAUAUAAAAAAAUAGAUCUAGGCCAUUGUCUAAAAGAAUUAUUGCCUCCUCUCUCACAGUAUUUAAAUGUCUUGCCUGUUAUGAGGAGUGGGGUGUGAGGACUUGUGUGGAAAAGGGCAAGUGAUGUCAUCUAGUCAUUCAUUUAUUCAUCCUUUCAUUGACUUCAUGACAAAGCGACAGUCACUGCCCUCAGAGUUGACAGUGAGGCAGACAGGCCAUCAGGCGCAGACUUGGCAAGAUGGAGAAGGCUCCUCUCCCAGCUGGGAGCAAGGAAGGAAAGGGGGCUAUAUGGAGGAUUGGGGGAAGGGAGAUGUGUCUGUAUUUGCUUGUUUACUUACUUAUUUCAAAACUUAUUUAUUGAAUUUCUUUUAAAAAUAUUGUAUGUAUUGGAUAGAGAUAGAGAGAACUCAAGAGAGGAGGGGUAGAUGGAAACACCUGCAACCCUGGUCCACCAGGGCUUCCCCUCUGAAAGUGGGGAGCAAGGGCUCGAACCCAGGUCCAUAGUAAUGUGUGCACUUAACCAAAUUUGCCACCAACUGGCCCCAUAUUGAAUUCUUAUUAUAUGUCUGGGGACACUGCUGAGACCCAAAGAUUCCACAGUAGUUUAAGAAGUAUAAGGGAGCAAACAUUUGUCAUAAGAAAAAAUGUCUUUGUUGGAAGACAGAUUUCAUGGGCUGGCUCUGAAAUUGGAUAGAAGAUGCUUUUGGACAAAAGGCCACAAAGGAAGAGCCUUACUGUACUGGAAAGACUUGACCUUCCUCUUCUGAUUCUCCUCAGGAAUGUAAAUCUGCAUAUUUUGUUUUAACUAGCUUUUCUUGGGUGAUCUCCCUAAUUGGCCUUCCCCUUCCCCCUCUAAGCUGUGUCUGGUAAAUAGAUCUUGUAUAAAGCCAUAGUUUGGGUUGUUUGUUUGUUUUUAAGUAAAUCUGAAAACUAUGAGUGAGUUGUUCAGAAUUUCUGGAUCUCUUCCAGAAGCAUUCAUGUUAUUUAUUGAUGAAUUUCUUUUUCCUUUUUCUCUUUGCAAUCUGCCUUGUGCCUAUUUGGUUAACUGUCCAGCUUCUGAAGAACCCAGAUGGUUUCUUCCCACAAGUAAUGAGAGUAGGUCCUGGGCAAGGGGCGAAAGGAGUUCCUAAAGGUGUUAGAAACGGAAAGUCUGGAAGAGAUGAUGGAGUUUCAGAAAAGGGAGAAAGCAAGGCCAGAUCUGCCCAGCUGGGGUCAUCUCCCUAGAAGACAAGUCAUGAGAGGUGGGUUCUAGUUUGAGGUCAUGUCUAGCUUGUUAGU